RNAcentral lists this ribosomal RNA (429 nucleotides) under Chloroflexota bacterium. Its description in RNAcentral is "Chloroflexi bacterium partial 16S ribosomal RNA". It matches the Rfam family "Bacterial small subunit ribosomal RNA", at positions 355 to 776 of the family's 1533-position model. Lineage: Bacteria; Bacillati; Chloroflexota. The record is from RNAcentral.
UGGGGAAUAUUGCACAAUGGGCGCAAGCCUGAUGCAGCCAUGCCGCGUGUGUGAAGAAGGCCUUCGGGUUGUGAAGCACUUUCAGCGGGGAGGAAGGCGUUAAGGUUAAUAACCUUGGCGAUUGACGUUACCCGCAGAAGAAGCACCGGCUAACUCCGUGCCAGCAGCCGCGGUAAUACGGAGGGUGCAAGCGUUAAUCGGAAUUACUGGGCGUAAAGCGCACGCAGGCGGUCUGUCAAGUCGGAUGUGAAAUCCCCGGGCUCAACCUGGGAACUGCAUUCGAAACUGGCAGGCUAGAGUCUUGUAGAGGGGGGUAGAAUUCCAGGUGUAGCGGUGAAAUGCGUAGAGAUCUGGAGGAAUACCGGUGGCGAAGGCGGCCCCCUGGACAAAGACUGACGCUCAGGUGCGAAAGCGUGGGGAGCAAACAGG